GUUGUUCAGUGCGGGGUCUGACAGAGGAGGCUCCGUGUCUGCAGCUAGUGUGUCAACUCAGCGUUUCUCCUCUCGUCCCUGGAGAGCUAAAGAUGGCUGAAUUUCUAGAUGACCAGGAAACUCGACUGUGUGACAACUGCAAAAAAGAAAUUCCUGUGUUUAACUUUACCAUCCAUGAGAUCCACUGUCAAAGGAACAUUGGUAUGUGUCCUAUCUGCAAGGAACCAUUUCCCAAAUCUGACAUGGAGACUCACAUGGCUGCAGAACACUGUCAGGUGACCUGCAAAUGUAACAAGAAGUUGGAGAAGAGGCUGUUAAAGAAGCAUGAGGAGACUGAGUGCCCUUUGCGGCUUGCUGUCUGCCAGCACUGUGAUUUAGAACUUUCCAUUCUCAAACUGAAGGAACAUGAAGAUUAUUGUGGUGCCCGGACGGAACUAUGUGGCAACUGUGGUCGCAAUGUCCUUGUGAAAGAUCUGAAGACUCACCCUGAAGUUUGUGGGAGAGAGGGGGAGGAAAAGAGAAAUGAGGUUGCCAUACCUCCUAAUGCAUAUGAUGAAUCUUGGGGUCAGGAUGGAAUCUGGAUUGCAUCCCAACUCCUCAGACAAAUUGAGGCUCUGGACCCACCCAUGAGGCUGCCGCGAAGGCCCCUGAGAGCCUUUGAAUCAGAUGUUUUCCACAGUAGAACUACCAACCAAAGGAACAUUACAGCCCAGGUUUCAAUUCAGAAUAAUCUGUGUGAGUUGUGCUUGGGAUUAGGGAACUAGAAUGGUAUCAAAAUCCCAAGGCAAAUGGGAACAGGGCUUUGGGGCCAGAUAGAUCUUGAUUAUAGAAACCCGACUGUAGCUGAGUAACACUGGGAAGAAUACCUCAACUUUCCUAUAAAAUGGAAAUAACCUCCAUUGGAUUAUAGUUAGGGUUCAUAAUGGUGAGGAUGAUGACAGUGUUGUAAAUAGCCAACACUUAUACAGAUUGAGUAUCCCUUAUCCAAAAUACUUGGGGCCAG
Molecule: small RNA, 1003 nt
Filed under: Pongo abelii (Sumatran orangutan)
Lineage: Eukaryota; Metazoa; Chordata; Mammalia; Primates; Hominidae
Description: retained intron
Source: RNAcentral